AUCUGUACUUUCACUUGUAAACUUCCGGUUGUUCACAAAGAAGUUAUAAGUGUUUGUUGCCCAACAUUGCGAUACUUAUUGGUGUAACCAUAUGCAAGAAACCUUCAGCAUUUCAGAAUUCAUCGAGAUAGAGUUUGCUGGAGUAGAGUCAUUAAAAUCCGUGGAUAUCGUUUUCAUGUAAAGAGAAUUUCAAUAAUCAUGAACAAUCACCCUGGACAUACUCCCCCUACAUCUGGUGCCCCACAUGGACCUCACCCUGGGUCUGGACCUGGACCACAUAUGGCAGGCAAGGUUUACCCACAUGACCAGCCAAUGGUGUUCAACCCAUCUAAUCCAAAUGCUCCUCCCAUUUAUCCAUGCGGAGCUUGUCAUAAGGAAGUACAUGACAAUGAUCAAGCUAUUCUUUGUGAGAGCGGUUGUAACUUCUGGUUCCAUAGGAUAUGCACAGGACUCAGUGAGCCUGCCUUCCACAUGCUCACCCAAGAAGUUUAUGCAGAGUGGGUGUGUGACAAGUGCUUAGCAACCAAGAACAUUCCGCUCAUCAAACUUAAAUCAUGAACUUCAAAAUGUUUGCUACCAAAUCUGUACUUGUAUAUGUAUUGGAACAAAUGAUCUGGAUGUGGACAAUGGUGCAACCGUGACUGUAAUUUAGAAGAAGAUGAAUCUGCAAUUUUUCAUAUGAAACGCAAAGGAGAACUAAUUUGUAAUUCAAACGUACCUGAUCCACAAGCUGAUGCAUGCAUGCUGCAUCUACUUCAGCAUUUGUACUGUUCUGUGAACAUUUUGAAUGUGAGAACAGCACAAGAACAUUUCAACAGAUGAAUACAGGAUUUAGAUUCAUUUUCUGUACUAUAUGUGCAUUUGACACUGCCCAUGAACAUGAAUCUCCAAAUCCACAUCAAGCUACAGCCAAAAUUGAUUCACUUGAUUAUGGUAUAACACAUUUUUCACGUAAAUAUGCAUAUACCUGAUAAAGAUGAUAAAUUUUUUAAUGCAUUUUGUAGAAUGAAUUUGAAAUUAGAUUUUUAUUUUAUCAAAUUACAUGUAUAUUUUCUUUCCAAAUGGUCUAAAUAGGUUUUAUGACUUUUUUGGUAAUUUCUGAAGAUUUGUAUGAACCACUUCAGAUUUUUAUUUUGUGAUUCAUUGGUUGUGAAAACAUAUCUAUCUAGGAUGCAGUUUUAAAUAAAUUGGUAGAAUCCUU
Pecten maximus is the source of this 1201-nucleotide long non-coding RNA. RefSeq lists it as uncharacterized. The record is from RefSeq and is a predicted model, not a curated record. Lineage: Eukaryota; Metazoa; Mollusca; Bivalvia; Pectinida; Pectinidae. The transcript has 2 exons.